RNAcentral lists this transfer RNA (90 nucleotides) under candidate division WWE3 bacterium CG_4_9_14_0_2_um_filter_48_10. Its description in RNAcentral is "tRNA-Ser". It matches the Rfam family "tRNA". From Rfam's summary of the family: Transfer RNA (tRNA) molecules are approximately 80 nucleotides in length. Their secondary structure includes four short double-helical elements and three loops (D, anti-codon, and T loops). Lineage: Bacteria; candidate division WWE3. The record is from RNAcentral.
GGAGGCGUGGCAGAGUGGUUUAAUGCGCCGAUCUCGAAAAUCGGUCGGGUGGCAGCACCCUCACAGGUUCGAAUCCUGUCGCCUCCGCCA